Molecule: ribosomal RNA, 519 nt
Filed under: uncultured archaeon
Lineage: Archaea
Description: bacterial SSU rRNA
Rfam family: Archaeal small subunit ribosomal RNA
Source: RNAcentral
CACGUGGAUAACCUGCCCUCAGGUCUGGCAUAACCCCGGGAAACUGGGGAUAAUUCCGGAUAACGCAUAUAUGCUGGAAUGCUUUAUGCGUCAAAGGUCCUCCGCCUGAGGAUGGGUCUGCGGCCUAUCAGGUAGUAGCGGGUGUAAUGUACCUGCUAGCCGACGACGGGUACGGGUUGUGAGAGCAAGAGCCCGGAGAUGGAUUCUGAGACAUGAAUCCAGGCCCUACGGGGCGCAGCAGGCGCGAAAACUUUACAAUGCGGGAAACCGUGAUAAGGGGACACCGAGUGCCAGCAACAUUUGCUGGCUGUCCAGGUGUGUAAACUACACCUGUUAGCAAGGGCCGGGCAAGACCGGUGCCAGCCGCCGCGGUAACACCGGCGGCCCGAGUGGUGAUCGUUAUUAUUGGGUCUAAAGGGUCCGUAGCCGGUUUAGUCAGUCCUCCGGGAAAUCUGUCAGCUCAACUGAUAGGCUAUCGGGGGAUACUGCUAGACUUGGAACCGGGAGAGGUAAGAGGUA